RNAcentral lists this ribosomal RNA (582 nucleotides) under uncultured bacterium. Its description in RNAcentral is "bacterial SSU rRNA". It matches the Rfam family "Bacterial small subunit ribosomal RNA", at positions 102 to 680 of the family's 1533-position model. The record is from RNAcentral.
ACGGGUGAGUAAUGUCUGGGGAUCUGCCCGAUAGAGGGGGAUAACCACUGGAAACGGUGGCUAAUACCGCAUAACGUCGCAAGACCAAAGAGGGGGACCUUCGGGCCUCUCACUAUCGGAUGAACCCAGAUGGGAUUAGCUAGUAGGCGGGGUAACGGCCCACCUAGGCGACGAUCCCUAGCUGGUCUGAGAGGAUGACCAGCCACACUGGAACUGAGACACGGUCCAGACUCCUACGGGAGGCAGCAGUGGGGAAUAUUGCACAAUGGGCGCAAGCCUGAUGCAGCCAUGCCGCGUGUAUGAAGAAGGCCUUCGGGUUGUAAAGUACUUUCAGCGGGGAGGAAGGCGAUAAGGUUAAUAACCUUGUCGAUUGACGUUACCCGCAGAAGAAGCACCGGCUAACUCCGUGCCAGCAGCCGCGGUAAUACGGAGGGUGCAAGCGUUAAUCGGAAUUACUGGGCGUAAAGCGCACGCAGGCGGUCUGUUAAGUCAGAUGUGAAAUCCCCGGGCUUAACCUGGGAACUGCAUUUGAAACUGGCAGGCUUGAGUCUCGUAGAGGGGGGUAGAAUUCCAGGUGUAGCG